This 172-nucleotide unclassified non-coding RNA is filed under the name uncultured Acremonium. Its description in RNAcentral is "sequence contains ITS2". Lineage: Eukaryota; Fungi; Ascomycota. The record is from RNAcentral.
CAACCCUCGUCCCCCGCCCAGGCGGGAGGGCGGUGUUGGGGAUGGGCCUGCCUCCGGGCCGGCCCGCCCCUAAAUACAGUGGCGACCACGCCGUAGCCUCCUCUGCGUAGUAGUAACUCACCUCGCGGGCGGAGAGCGGUGCGGUCCGCCGUAAAACCCCCAACUUUCUCAA